UGACUAUUUCAACAUGAGACGGGCCUGCCACAGCAAAACUGACUGGGUGGAUAAAAAAUGGAAGGAGGCCAUUAUGCAUCACCCAGUUAAGAAAGAUAGCAGUAGCUGUGGGGUCAUUGUGAUUAUGGUUAGUGAUGGAGGCCUUCCCAAAUAUGCCAAGCAUGGACUUCAAAACGACAAGAAAAGAAAUGGCACAAGAACGCACAAACAUAGCGUGUGAGAUAUUACACGCUUCUGUGUUCAACACAGACAGUAACUGUGCUAUGUGCUCAACCACAAAGCCACCAGGAUCAGGACCAGCCUUUACAGACUGGAUACAGUGUGAUGGCUGUUGCCGGUGGUAUCACGCACAGUGCCUUAAACUAGAUAAAGACACCCUUAAAAAAGCAGCAAGUGAAGACUGGAAUUGCUGUCUUUGUACAUAAUUCAUUAGCCAUGAAAAACUAACAGGAUGUAUCCUAUCUGUUUUACUGCAUUUCUCAUUUUUGCAUAAAGUUGUAUUUGUGUUCCACACAAAUGUUGCACUGAACUAUGCACCAAAGUCAAGUUCUUAAUCAUCAAAGUUGACUUUUUACAGUAUGACAUAGUACUUUCAAUUACUGCUAAAAGGUAAACUAUACAGUAAAAGUACGCAGGUCUUUGUGUGGUGAUAGUACACCUCUAGCAGAAUAAGGAGAAAGUGGUCUGGGCCUGGAACUAUGCACCAAAGUCAAGUUAUUAAUCAUCAAAAUUGACUAUAAUGCCAAUACGAUACUAUAAUAGGACAUGGUAGUUUUGAAUACUAAUAAAUCCUAAACUAUACAGUAACA
Molecule: long non-coding RNA, 809 nt
Filed under: Betta splendens (Siamese fighting fish)
Lineage: Eukaryota; Metazoa; Chordata; Actinopteri; Anabantiformes; Osphronemidae
Description: lncRNA (ENSBSLG00000002840.1)
Source: RNAcentral